ACGAACUGUGAAGAUUAAGUCAUUGAAGUUUAGUAAACCGACAGAUCUUUUGACUUAUGUUCCAAAUUCAAAUCUUUUGUUGUUUGUGUAUAUAUAUAUAUAAUUGGAAAUAUUUUCUCCUAAUUUGGGUCUUGUUUUUUCAUUGUCUUGAUGGCGGCUUGUGCAAAGCAGUUUUAAUUUGGGAUAUACAGUAGUUCCACCACCCUUUGUUGAGAAUGAUGCCGGGGUUCUUGCUCACGGAGUCGAAGAAUGAACUUCGCAAACGCUAGGAGAACAAAAUAGCAGCUUGGUCUGGAGCAGAUUCUUGGUCUGGGAGUAUAUCAAUCAAGACUGCCUGCUCUGCUCCCAAGAGAUGCAUAGUGAGUAUGUACAGAUGGAAACACAUGAUGUCUGUCUGUGAUUUGCUUUAAGAUACUUCAUUAAAGAAAAAAGAAAAAAGAUUUUUAAAUAGGAUGUACACAAGAUUUGUGCAUUUUCUCAAUAUAAAAAAAUCUUAAAUGUCUUCAAUGAGAAAAGAAAUACUCCUCCUGAGAAUCCUUAGUGGAGAGUUGCCCCCAGGGGUGAUGAUUAGCCCCAGGUUCUUCUGACCUGCUACACCUCGACAAAGCAUCUUUCAGUUUUAAGAAAAGAUCUUCAGGAAUAGAGAUAAAGAUAUUGACUGCUGGGAGUCCGUUGGAGCCCAAAGGAAUAAAGUUCAGUGAAAUUGGAGUAAAGUUUAAGGAAUGAAAGUGGGAUGCUGGCACUUCUGCAACAACUGGCAAUUUUUUGUUUGUGGACAAGAAUGCUCAGGAAUUAGAGUUUUGGUAUGGUAUGUGAGAAGCACUUGAUAAUUUCCAUAAGGACUCCCUGCAGCCUCAACAUCUGGACAAUUUCUCAGGUAUCUGUGAUCCUGCAUGGUGCUCUGGUCCACUCCUUGGUGGGGAUCUUUUUUAUCUUGGUAGAUUUAUUGGGAGCUUCCUGAAAAUAGGGCCCUCACCCUCUAACUUCCUAACUGCAGAGCCCAGCACAAAGCCUGUUCACAUUACAAAUGAAUGGUGACCACAUACAUAGUCCUCUGGAAGUGGACUCGAGUUAAAAACAGGUAGAAUGAAGGGUCUGUGUAUAGCUCCUUCUGCCAUCACUUCCAGUUCCCUUGAUAGUUGCAUGUCUAUCUACUGUUACUCAUAUUUCAGCUGCAAUGCUACUACCUCUUUGGGUCACCCCUGACUUCAUAAAGUAGCCACCCCAACACUCUGGCACAUUACCGUUGUAAUUCUCUGCAGAGCGCUUAUUACCAUGUGCAGCUUUUCUUGAUUAUUUAUACUUUAUUAUCUGUCUCCCUCAUAAACAGAUUACUUAUACCAUAUUAUCUUUUACAUUUAUACAAGAAUAAAGGUUCCAUGAUGGUAGGGACAUUGUGUGGCUUCCUCACUGCAGUACACGCAGCACAUACUAGUUGAUCAGUAUUUCUGGACUGAAUGAAUUUAUCAUAAACAGAGAUGGAAGCAACCUCCCCUUGGAUUGUCAGCUAUUAAAGAUUUAGGAAGGAAGGAAAGGUCCUAGAGACUGAAGAGAACAUCUACUAUGAGAGCUAUCUGUA
Molecule: non-coding RNA, 1579 nt
Organism: Manis javanica (Malayan pangolin)
Lineage: Eukaryota; Metazoa; Chordata; Mammalia; Pholidota; Manidae
Source: RefSeq, a predicted model, not a curated record